UUAUUUUGAAUUUACACAUCCACUUCCUUGCAAGCACUGGCCACUUGUAGAUGACAUGAGAGCGUAUUGGGUUCCCUCGCUUCAGCAGCCCUUUCAACUUGUUCUUCUUGUUUUGACAAAUCAUAUUGCUGUAUUUGGCCCUCCUCUUAUUCUGCCUUUUCUUAAAUAUCAACAACAAUCUUCUGUCAAACACAGGUUGUGUGACUAGCCAAUGGUAAUUUUCUCCCCAAACACAAGAUCAUUGUGCUGGUGUGUGCACUGUCAUGAGUGUCUUUCUUCAGGAUUCGAAGCCUUUUUUGACAUAACCUCCACUGUUUUGUAUUUCUCUUCCUUAGGCUCAGCAGACGCCCUCUUCUUACCCUUCAUCUUCACUCUUAAGUCUGUACUUAAACAUCCAGCUCUUUGGGUACUUCCUCUGUUUCAGCUUCAAAUUAGCGUUGAUCAUUCCUAAACACACUCCUGGAGCCGCUUGCAGUCUGUCUUAGUCAACUCUCUUCUUCAUUGUCUCUUAUUUUUCUCCUCCACAAACAGUAGUACUGUUGUGUGCCAUAACCAUAUUCUCCAGCUUGUCUCUCUGCUCUCUACACUUGUGUCUGAACUUAUGCUUCUUCCAAUAUCACAACUUCCUCCAAAACCUCUUUGAGUACUCCUCCUCAUUAAUCUCUUCUCUGGUCUAUUAGAGGUUUUAAGCAUCUGAGAUUUUAUCAAUAAAUAAAAGUGGGUUUCAGUAAUUAUAUACACCAAUUGAUAAAUGUCGUCCAUCCUAAAAGACACGACCAAACUAAAAGUGAAAAUGUAUGUAUGCCUAGGUUUGUUUUGGUUUCACACAUGAUCCAUCGUUCAAACUAAUUAGUUCUAAAAAUCAACUUAAAAUAGAAAGUAGAACACUUAACCAUCUCGAGACACAGACUGAUGGUUAGGAGCUUUAGUCAGCUUACAAAUCUUAGCUAAUUCAUAUCUAAGCUAACAUAUGUAAGCUAAUUCACUAUAUAAACAUAGAUAAUGCGGUGUAAAUUUUUACAAACCACAACACAAACACACAAAAAAAAAAAAAAACACUCUCUCAAUUCUCAAACAUGUCUUCUGACAAAAGCCAAACAGCCUGCGAAGCCAUUCUGAGUAUGGUCUCGAAGAUGGCUGAAGGCCCCGAGAAGAAGAAAUUGUUGGAAGCAGCUUACCAGUGCUGCUGCAACGACAAGAGGAGCAGGUGCGUAGCUGAAAAGCUUAUCAAGUCGAUCUACGCCGCCUCCGCCAAAAAGAAGUAGAG
RNAcentral lists this long non-coding RNA (1267 nucleotides) under Brassica napus (rape). Its description in RNAcentral is "long non-coding RNA (BNAP_LNC008278)". The record is from RNAcentral. Lineage: Eukaryota; Viridiplantae; Streptophyta; Magnoliopsida; Brassicales; Brassicaceae.